This 301-nucleotide ribosomal RNA is filed under the name uncultured bacterium. Its description in RNAcentral is "partial 16S ribosomal RNA". It matches the Rfam family "Bacterial small subunit ribosomal RNA", at positions 509 to 807 of the family's 1533-position model. The record is from RNAcentral.
CAGUAGCCACGGUAAUACGUAGGGUGCAAGCGUUAAUCGGAAUUACUGGGCGUAAAGCGCGCGUAGGUGGUUUGUUAAGUUGGAUGUGAAAUCCCCGGGCUCAACCUGGGAACUGCAUCCAAAACUGGCAAGCUAGAGUAUGGUAGAGGGUGGUGGAAUUUCCUGUGUAGCGGUGAAAUGCGUAGAUAUAGGAAGGAACACCAGUGGCGAAGGCGACCACCUGGACUGAUACUGACACUGAGGUGCGAAAGCGUGGGGAGCAAACAGGAUUAGAUACCCCCGUAGUCCCUGUCUCUUAUAC